GACGAACGCUGGCGGCGUGCUUAACACAUGCAAGUCGAACGAAGAGCGACGGAAGCUUGCUUCUAUCAAUCUUAGUGGCGAACGGGUGAGUAACGCGUAAUCAACCUGCCCUUCAGAGGGGGACAACAGUUGGAAACGACUGCUAAUACCGCAUACGAUCUAAUCUCGGCAUCGAGGAUGGAUGAAAGGUGGCCUCUACAUGUAAGCUAUCACUGAAGGAGGGGAUUGCGUCUGAUUAGCUAGUUGGAGGGGUAACGGCCCACCAAGGCGAUGAUCAGUAGCCGGUCUGAGAGGAUGAGCGGCCACAUUGGGACUGAGACACGGCCCAGACUCCUACGGGAGGCAGCAGUGGGGAAUCUUCCGCAAUGGACGAAAGUCUGACGGAGCAACGCCGCGUGAGUGAUGACGGCCUUCGGGUUGUAAAGCUCGGUUAAUCGGGACGAAAGGCCUUCUUGCGAAUAGUGAGAAGGAUUGACGGUACCGGAAUAGAAAGCCACGGCUAACUACGUG
RNAcentral lists this ribosomal RNA (510 nucleotides) under uncultured bacterium. Its description in RNAcentral is "partial 16S ribosomal RNA". It matches the Rfam family "Bacterial small subunit ribosomal RNA", at positions 28 to 507 of the family's 1533-position model. The record is from RNAcentral.